AUUCGCAGUGCAGGUGUCAAGCGCCGCAGACUUGCUGCUCGCGCGGUGGGGCGGAGGCUCCCUGUGGCACCUGCCCCGCUGUCCGCUCUUCGCUUUUUCCCCGCUUGGGUCUCGGCGCGGACCGUGUGGACGCCCCGCCCCCGCGGGCCCAGCACCUGCACGGAGAGGAGCCGCGGCCCUGCGGAGCGAGCCUGCGGGAUCCCGGUCGCAGCGCUGAGCUUCCGUCCCCCGCUGAGCCCGCUCUGCCCGUGGCGCGCCGCCGACGGGGCUGCGCUGAGCAUGCGGGUCGGAGGGCGCUCGGGAGCUGUCCAGGGGCACUCGUGACCCCACAGUGCAGGGAGGCCCCGGCCCCCAGUCGGGCUGGAGCCGCCAGGCAGGAGCCAGUAGUGAACUUUUCAGUUUUAAAAGCUUGUCAUUAGAUACAAACAUGAGUAAAAGUUAAACUUCAUUUUAUUAAAUUCGUUUUACCCUUUUGUCUUUUUGACGAGGCCUUCCUAUGUUGGCCAGGCUGGUCUCAAACUCCUGGGCUCAAGCGAUCCGCCCGCCCGCCUCUGCCUCCCAGAGUGCUGGGGUUACAGGUCGGGGCCGCCUUGCUUGGCUUCUGUAUUAUAUCUUUUUUUUAAAAGAUCUUUUCCUUAUUGUUCCACUGCCAUGCUCCUGCCGCCGUUCACAGCUAUUGCCACUGGGCGGUGGGAACGCCGGGAGAACAGGGCUCAGCCCAGCUGCUAGCAGUGCCCUGGCCCUGGCGGCUUGAACUUGGCAGUCCUGCGGAAGUCACACGGGGGAAACCCGCAAAUGCUACAAAUCAGUGCUGGAGCGGUGGUUUUGUUGAUUGCUUAAACUGAAGAAAGUGAUAGAGAAAAUGUUGAUGAUAAAGAUUAAACUUAAAACUGUCAUGUCGACAACCGUUACAUUGCAAAUAGCACAUAAAAUUUAAGAGAAUAUUUUUUAAAUGAUUCAAAAGUGUCGAAUUCAGCAAAGACAAGUUAUUGACUAAUGGGUGAAGUUGUGACAUCAGUGGGGCUAGUGCUGAAAGAAGUUUAAUGAUUAGGCCGGUCACGGUGGCUCACGCCUGUAAUCCCAGCACUUUGGGAGGCCAAGGCGGGCGGAUCACCUGAGGUCGGGAGUUCGAGACCAGCCUGGCCAGCAUGGAGAAACCUCGUCUCUACUAAAAAUACAAAACUAGCCGGGCUUGGUGGCGCAUGGCUUGCCUGUAAGCCCAGCUACUCGGGAGGCUGAGGCAGGAGAAUGGCUUGAACCCGGGAGGCGGAGUCUGCGGUGAGCCGAGAUUUUGCCAUUGCACUCCAGCCUGGGCCACAAGAGCAAAACUCCCUCUCAAAAAAAAAAAAAAAAGUUUAAUAAUUAUAAUCUGAGGGUAAGAAAUAGUUUAACAGUGGACGACAUAUCAAAUUUAGUAUGAGAAGAGUGAAAGUUACUUCAAGUUGUGAAAUCAUGAUUGAACCGUAAACAUUAGUUGGUUGAAAUGAAAAUUUUUGUUCACAGAAACCUGUGUGCAAACGUUUAUAGCAGCUUUAUUUAUAAUAGCCCCAAACUUGAAACAAUCCGAAUGAUUCUGACCCCCAACUGUCUGUAGCUUUCUGUAGGAUACGCAGCACUUUUCUGUAUACAGUGCUUGAUGCAUCUUGAGUCUUCAGUUUUAUGCAGGAAAAAUCCAAGUUAACAUCUGGCUUAACCAAGAAGACAAACCACUAGGAGGACUUAGUUACAGCAUCAGAAAGCAAUGGAUUAAUAUUCAGAAUGAAAAAAGGAAUGCUUGUAAAUCGACGAGAAAAAGACCGACAAUAGACAAAUGUGCAGAAGAUAAGAAUAGGCAAUUCACAGCCUGGCCAUCAUAGUGAAACCCCGUUUCUACUAAAAAUACGAAAACAGUGGGGCGUGGUGGUUCAUGCCUGUCAUCCCAGCUACUCAGGAGGCUGAGGCAGGAGAAUCGCUUGAACCCAGGAGGCAGAGGUUGGAGGGAGCGGAAAUCACACCACUGAACUCAG
RNAcentral lists this long non-coding RNA (2006 nucleotides) under Homo sapiens (human). Its description in RNAcentral is "non-protein coding lnc-NSD2-1:1". The record is from RNAcentral. Lineage: Eukaryota; Metazoa; Chordata; Mammalia; Primates; Hominidae.